GAUGAACGCUGGCGGCGUGCCUAAUACAUGCAAGUCGAGCGAACAGACGAGGAGCUUGCUCCUCUGACGUUAGCGGCGGACGUGUGAGUAACACGUGGAUAACCUACCUAUAAGACUGGGAUAACUUCGGGAAACCGGAGCUAAUACCGGAUAAUAUAUUGAACCGCAUGGUUCAAUAGUGAAAGACGGUUUUGCUGUCACUUAUAGAUGGAUCCGCGCCGCAUUAGCUAGUUGGUAAGGUAACGGCUUACCAAGGCAACGAUGCGUAGCCGACCUGAGAGGGCGAUCGGCCACACUGGAACUGAGACACGGUCCAGACUCCUACGGGAGGCAGCAGUAGGGAAUCUUCCGCAAUGGGCGAAAGCCUGACGGAGCAACGCCGCGUGAGUGAUGAAGGUCUUCGGAUCGUAAAACUCUGUUAUUAGGGAAGAACAAAUGUGUAAGUAACUAUGCACGUCUUGACGGUACCUAAUCAGAAAGCCACGGCUAACUACGUG
This 497-nucleotide ribosomal RNA is filed under the name uncultured bacterium. Its description in RNAcentral is "partial 16S ribosomal RNA". It matches the Rfam family "Bacterial small subunit ribosomal RNA", at positions 28 to 507 of the family's 1533-position model. The record is from RNAcentral.